GAUGAACGCUGGCGGCGUGCCUAAUACAUGCAAGUCGAGCGAACAGACGAGGAGCUUGCUCCUUUGACGUUAGCGGCGGACGGGUGAGUAACACGUGGAUAACCUACCUAUAAGACUGGGAUAACUUCGGGAAACGGGAGCUAAUACCGGAUAACAUCUUGAACCGCAUGGUUCAACAGUGAAAGACGGUCUUGCUGUCACUUAUCGAUGGAUCCGGGCCGCUUUGGCUAGUUGGUACGGUAACGGCUUACCAAGGCAACGAUGCGUAGCCGACCUGAGAGGGUGAUAGGCCACCUUGGAACUGGAACGCGGACCAGACUCCUACGGGAGGCACCAGUAGGGAAUGUUCGGCAGUGGGCGAAAGCCUGACGGAACAACGCCGCGUGAGUGAAGAAGGUCUUCGGAUCGUAAAACUCUGUUAUUAGGGAAGAACAAAUGUGUAAGUAACUAUGCACGUCUUGACGGUACCUAAUCAGAAAGCCACGGCUAACUACGUG
Molecule: ribosomal RNA, 497 nt
Filed under: uncultured bacterium
Lineage: Bacteria
Description: partial 16S ribosomal RNA
Rfam family: Bacterial small subunit ribosomal RNA
Source: RNAcentral